Molecule: ribosomal RNA, 500 nt
Filed under: uncultured bacterium
Lineage: Bacteria
Description: partial 16S ribosomal RNA
Rfam family: Bacterial small subunit ribosomal RNA
Source: RNAcentral
AUUGAACGCUGGCGGCAUGCCUUACACAUGCAAGUCGAACGGUAGCACGGGAGCAAUCCUGGUGGCGAGUGGCGAACGGGUGAGUAAAGUAUCGGAACGUGCCCAGUCGUGGGGGAUAACGUAGCGAAAGUUACGCUAAUACCGCAUACGAUCUAUGGAUGAAAGCGGGGGAUCGCAAGACCUCGCGCGAUUGGAGCGACCGAUAUCAGAUUAGGUAGUUGGUGGGGUAAAGGCUCACCAAGCCGACGAUCUGUAGCUGGUCUGAGAGGACGACCGGCCAGAAGGGGACGGCGACACGGCCCAGACUCCAGCGGGAGGCAGCAGUGGGGAAUUUUGUACAAUGGGCGAAAGCCUGAUCCAUCCAUGCCACGUGGAGGAUGAAGGCUUUCGGGUUGUAAACUGCUUUUGUACGAAACGAAAAGGUUUGACUUAAUACUUUGGACUCAUGACGGUACCGUAAGAAUAAGCACCGGCUAACUACGUGCCAGCCGCCGCAGUAA